Molecule: ribosomal RNA, 174 nt
Filed under: uncultured bacterium
Lineage: Bacteria
Description: partial 16S ribosomal RNA
Rfam family: Bacterial small subunit ribosomal RNA
Source: RNAcentral
CCUACGGGAGGCAGCAGUGGGGAAUAUUGCACAAUGGGCGGAAGCCUGAUGCAGCGACGCCGCGUGAGGGAUGACGGCCUUCGGGUUGUAAACCUCUUUCAGCAGGGAAGAAGCGCAAGUGACGGUACCUGCAGAAGAAGCACCGGCUAACUACGUGCCAGCAGCCGCGGUAAU